AUGGGCAGAGCCCCACGCCCUGCCCGGGCAGCCCAGGAGCUCUGGGGGGCACCAGGAGAACGUGGGACCCCGCGUUGUUCCCGCCUGGCACGGGCUCAUCCCGGCCUGGGGAAGUGCAGCCCCGUGGCCAGGCUCCCAUGGAACCUCAUCCAUGGAAUCCAUCCCAUGGAACCUCAUCCAUGGAACCUCAUCCAUGGAACCUCAUCCAUGGAACCUCAUCCAUGGAACCACAUCCCAUGGAACCUCAUCCAUGGAACCUCAUCCAUGGAAUCACAUCCCAUGGAACCUCAUCCAUGGAACCUCAUCCAUGGCAUCACAUCCCAUGGAAUCACAUCCAUGGAACCUCAUCCAUGGAACCUCAUCCAUGGAACUUUAUCCAUGGAAACUCAUCCAUGGAACCACAUCCAUGGAACCACAUCCAUGGAACCUCAUCCAUGGAAUCACAUCCAUGGAACCACAUCCACAGAACCUCAUCCAUGGAACCUCAUCCAUGGACCUCAUCCAUGGAACCACAUCCAUGGAACCACAUCCAUAGAACCUCAUCCAUGGAACCACAUCCAUAGAACCUCAUCCAUGGAAUCACAUCCAUGGAAUCACAUCCAUGGAAUCACAUCCCAUGGAAUCACAUCCCCUGGAAUCACAUCCAUGGAAUCACAUCCAUGGAACCUCAUCCAUGGAAUCACAUCCAUGGAAUCACAUCCAUGGAAUCACAUCCCAUGGAACCUCAUCCAUGGAACAACAUCCAUGGAAUCACAUCCAUGGAACCUCAUCCAUGGAAUCACAUCCAUGGAAUCACAUCCCCUGGAACCACAUCCAUGGAAUCACAUCCAUGGAAUCACAUCCAUGGAACCUCAUCCAUGGAAUAACAUCCAUGGAACCACAUCCAUGGAACCACAUCCAUGGAAUCACAUCCAUGGAAUCACAUCCAUGGAACCUCAUCCAUGGAAUCACAUCCCAUGGAAUCACAUCCAUGGAACCUCAUCCAUGGAACCUCAUCCACAGAAUCACAUCCAUGGAACCUCAUCCAUGGAACCUCAUCCAUGGAAUCACAUCCAUGGC
RNAcentral lists this long non-coding RNA (1059 nucleotides) under Taeniopygia guttata (zebra finch). RNAcentral describes it as "lncRNA (ENSTGUG00000025377.1)". The record is from RNAcentral. Lineage: Eukaryota; Metazoa; Chordata; Aves; Passeriformes; Estrildidae.